AGUGAACGCUGGCGGUAGGCCUAACACAUGCAAGUCGAACGGCGGCACAGUAAGAGCUUGCUCUUACGGGUGGCGAGUGGCGGACGGGUGAGGAAUACAUCGGAAUCUACUUUUUCGUGGGGGAUAACGUAGGGAAACUUACGCUAAUACCGCAUACGACCUACGGGUGAAAGCAGGGGAUCUUCGGACCUUGCGCGAUUGAAUGAGCCGAUGUCGGAUUAGCUAGUUGGCGGGGUAAAGGCCCACCAAGGUGACGAUCCGUAGCUGGUCUGAGAGGAUGAUCAGCCACACUGGAACUGAGACACGGUCCAGACUCCUACGGGAGGCAGCAGUGGGGAAUAUUGGACAAUGGGCGCAAGCCUGAUCCAGCCAUACCGCGUGGGUGAAGAAGGCCUUCGGGUUGUAAAGCCCUUUUGUUGGGAAAGAAAAGCAGCAGGUUAAUACCCCGCUGUUCUGACGGUACCCAAAGAAUAAGCACCGGCUAACUUCGUG
This 492-nucleotide ribosomal RNA is filed under the name uncultured bacterium. Its description in RNAcentral is "partial 16S ribosomal RNA". It matches the Rfam family "Bacterial small subunit ribosomal RNA", at positions 29 to 507 of the family's 1533-position model. The record is from RNAcentral.